RNAcentral lists this ribosomal RNA (862 nucleotides) under uncultured bacterium. RNAcentral's name for it is "bacterial SSU rRNA". It matches the Rfam family "Bacterial small subunit ribosomal RNA", at positions 104 to 1000 of the family's 1533-position model. The record is from RNAcentral.
GGGUGAGUAACGCGUGGGAACGUGCCUUCUGGUCUGGAAUAACCCUGGGAAACUAGGGCUAAUACCGGAUACGCCCUUUUGGGGAAAGGUUUACUGCCGGAAGAUCGGCCCGCGUCUGAUUAGCUAGUUGGUGGGGUAACGGCCUACCAAGGCGACGAUCAGUAGCUGGUCUGAGAGGAUGAUCAGCCACACUGGGACUGAGACACGGCCCAGACUCCUACGGGAGGCAGCAGUGGGGAAUAUUGGACAAUGGGCGCAAGCCUGAUCCAGCCAUGCCGCGUGAGUGAUGAAGGCCUUAGGGUUGUAAAGCUCUUUUAUCCGGGACGAUAAUGACGGUACCGGAGGAAUAAGCCCCGGCUAACUUCGUGCCAGCAGCCGCGGUAAUACGAAGGGGGCUAGCGUUGCUCGGAAUCACUGGGCGUAAAGGGCGCGUAGGCGGCGUUUUAAGUCGGGGGUGAAAGCCUGUGGCUCAACCACAGAAUGGCCUUCGAUACUGGGACGCUUGAGUAUGGUAGAGGUUGGUGGAACUGCGAGUGUAGAGGUGAAAUUCGUAGAUAUUCGCAAGAACACCGGUGGCGAAGGCGGCCAACUGGACCAUUACUGACGCUGAGGCGCGAAAGCGUGGGGAGCAAACAGGAUUAGAUACCCUGNUAGUCCACGCCGUAAACGAUGAAUGCCAGCUGUUGGGGUGCUUGCACCGCAGUAGCGCAGCUAACGCUUUGAGCAUUNCCGCCUGGGGAGUACGGUCGCAAGAUUAAAACUCAAAGGAAUUGANNGGGGCCCGCACAAGCGGUGGGAGCAUGUGGUUNAAUUCGAAGCAACGCGCAGAACCUUACCAUCCUUUGACAUGGCGUGUUACCCA